GGCAGCACAGAAGAGCUUGCUCUUUGGGUGGCGAGUGGCGGACGGGUGAGUAAUGUCUGGGAAACUGCCCGAUGGAGGGGGAUAACUACUGGAAACGGUAGCUAAUACCGCAUAACGUCGCAAGACCAAAGUGGGGGACCUUCGGGCCUCACACCAUCGGAUGUGCCCAGAUGGGAUUAGCUAGUAGGUGGGGUAAUGGCUCACCUAGGCGACGAUCCCUAGCUGGUCUGAGAGGAUGACCAGCCACACUGGAACUGAGACACGGUCCAGACUCCUACGGGAGGCAGCAGUGGGGAAUAUUGCACAAUGGGCGCAAGCCUGAUGCAGCCAUGCCGCGUGUAUGANGAAGGCCUUCGGGUUGUAAAGUACUUUCAGCGGGGAGGAAGGCGGUGAGGUUAAUAACCUUGCCGAUUGACGUUACCCGCAGAAGAAGCACCGGCUAACUCCGUGCCAGCAGCCGCGGUAAUACGGAGGGUGCAAGCGUUAAUCGGAAUUACUGGGCGUANAGCGCACGCAGGCGGUCUGUUAAGUCAGAUGUGAAAUCCCCGGGCUUAACCUGGGAACUGCAUUUGAAACUGGCAGGCUUGAGUCUCGUAGAGGGGGGUAGAAUUCCNGGUGUAGCGGUGAAAUGCGUA
RNAcentral lists this ribosomal RNA (635 nucleotides) under Pantoea dispersa. Its description in RNAcentral is "bacterial SSU rRNA". It matches the Rfam family "Bacterial small subunit ribosomal RNA", at positions 65 to 692 of the family's 1533-position model. Lineage: Bacteria; Pseudomonadati; Pseudomonadota; Gammaproteobacteria; Enterobacterales; Erwiniaceae. The record is from RNAcentral.